RNAcentral lists this ribosomal RNA (393 nucleotides) under uncultured bacterium. RNAcentral's name for it is "partial 16S ribosomal RNA". It matches the Rfam family "Bacterial small subunit ribosomal RNA", at positions 523 to 918 of the family's 1533-position model. The record is from RNAcentral.
AUACGGAGGAUGCGAGCGUUAUCCGGAUUUAUUGGGUUUAAAGGGAGCGUAGGUGGGAUAUUAAGUCAGCUGUGAAAGUUUGGGGCUCAACCUUAAAAUUGCAGUUGAUACUGGUUUCCUUGAGUACGGUAUAGGUGGGCGGAAUUCGUGGUGUAGCGGUGAAAUGCUUAGAUAUCACGAAGAACUCCGAUCGCGAAGGCAGCUCACCAGGACGGAACUGACACUGAUGCUCGAAAGUGCGGGUAUCAAACAGGAUUAGAUACCCUGGUAGUCCGCACAGUAAACGAUGAAUACUCGCUGUGUGCGAUACACUGUAAGCGGCCAAGCGAAAGCGUUAAGUAUUCCACCUGGGGAGUUCGCCGGCAACGGUGAAACUCAAAUGAAUUGACGGGG